CGUAAUACAAUCUGCCUAUAACUGGAGGAUAGCCCGGAGAAAUUCGGAUUAAUACUCCAUAACAUAGUGGUGUGGCAUCACAUUAUUAUUAAAGCUCCGGCGGUUAUAGAUGAGUAUGCGGAUGAUUAGCUAGUUGGUGAGGUAAUGGCUCACCAAGGCUACGAUCAAUAGGGGUACUGAGAGGUUAAACCCCCACACUGGUACUGAGACACGGACCAG
Molecule: ribosomal RNA, 219 nt
Filed under: uncultured bacterium
Lineage: Bacteria
Description: partial 16S ribosomal RNA
Rfam family: Bacterial small subunit ribosomal RNA
Source: RNAcentral